AUCAAAGCCGGAUGGAUGAAGUGGCGCCAAGCUUCUGGCAUUCUCUGUGACAAGAGAGUGCCACAAAAGCUAAAAGGCAAGUUCUACAGGACGGCGGUUCGACCCGCAAUGUUGUAUGGCGCGGAGUGUUGGCCGACUAAAACGCGACAUGUUCAACAGUUAGGUGUGGCGGAGAUGCGUAUGUUGAGAUGGAUGUGUGGCCACACGAGGAAGGAUCGAGUCCGGAAUGAUGGUAUACGAGAUAGAGUUGGGGUAGCACCAAUUGAGGAGAAGCUUGUCCAACAUCGUUUGAGAUGGUUUGGGCAUAUUCAGCGCAGGCCUCCAGAAGCUCCAGUGCAUAGCGGACGGCUAAAGCAUGCGGAUAAUGUCAAGAGAGGGCGGGGUCGACCGAUUUUGACAUGGGAGGAGUCCGUUAAGAGAGACCUGAAGGAUUGGAGUAUCGACAAAGAGCUAGCUAUGGACAGGGGUGCGUGGGAGCUUGCUAUCCAU
This 489-nucleotide ribosomal RNA is filed under the name Triticum aestivum (bread wheat). RNAcentral describes it as "partial small subunit ribosomal RNA". Lineage: Eukaryota; Viridiplantae; Streptophyta; Magnoliopsida; Poales; Poaceae. The record is from RNAcentral.